Molecule: ribosomal RNA, 408 nt
Filed under: uncultured bacterium
Lineage: Bacteria
Description: partial 16S ribosomal RNA
Rfam family: Bacterial small subunit ribosomal RNA
Source: RNAcentral
GACGAACGCUGGCGGCGUGCUUAACACAUGCAAGUCGAACGAAGUGGCGAACGGGUGAGUAACGCGUAAUCAACUUGCCCUUCUGAGGGGGACAACAGUUGGAAACGACUGCUAAUACCGCAUACUGAAGGAGGGGAUUGCGUCUGAUUAGCUAGUUGGGGGGGUAACGGCCCACCAAGGCGAUGAUCAGUAGCCGGUCUGAGAGGGUGAACGGCCACAUGGGGACUGAGACACGGGCCCGCAUCCUACGGGAUGCAGCAGGGGGGAAACUUCCGCAAAGGGCGGAAGUCUGACGGAGCAACGGCGCGUGAGUGAUGACGGCCUUCGGGUUGUAAAGCUCUGUUAAUCGGGACGCGGUACCGGAAUAGAAAGCCACGGCUAACUACGUGCCAGCAGCCGCGGUAAUUC